AGAUUGAACGCUGGCGGAAUGCUUUACACAUGCAAGUCGAACGGCAGCACGGGACUCAGGCAACUGAGCCCUGGUGGCGAGUGGCGAACGGGUGAGUAACAUAUCGGAACGUACCCAGUCGUGGGGGAUAACUCUCCGAAAGGAGAGCUAAUACCGCAUACGUCCUGAGGAGAAAGCGGGGGACCUAAGGGUACUGAGGGCCUCGCGCGAUUGGAGCGGCCGAUAGUCGGAUUAGCUAGUUGGUGAGGUAAAGGCUCACCAAGGCGACGAUCCGUAGCGGGUCUGAGAGACGACCGCAC
This 299-nucleotide ribosomal RNA is filed under the name uncultured soil bacterium. RNAcentral's name for it is "partial 16S ribosomal RNA". It matches the Rfam family "Bacterial small subunit ribosomal RNA", at positions 26 to 311 of the family's 1533-position model. The record is from RNAcentral.